RNAcentral lists this unclassified non-coding RNA (263 nucleotides) under plant metagenome. RNAcentral's name for it is "partial contains small subunit ribosomal RNA, internal transcribed spacer 1, and 5.8S ribosomal RNA". The stretch from base 1 to 54 matches the Rfam family "Eukaryotic small subunit ribosomal RNA", at positions 1778 to 1831 of the family's 1831-position model. The record is from RNAcentral.
GGAAGUAAAGGUCGUAACAAGGUUUCCGUAGGUGAACCUGCGGAAGGAUCAUUAAAGAGUAAGGGUCUUCGGGCCCGAUCUCCAACCCUUUGUUUAACUACCAUGUUGCUUUGGCGGGCCCGUCUCACGACCGCCGGAAGUUUGGCUUCGACCAAACUUCUGGCCCGUGCCCGUCAGUGGCCCCUUCAAAUUCUUGAUCAAGUAUGAUGUCUUAGUUAAAAACUUAAUAGUUAAAACUUUCAACAACGGACCUCUUGGUUCUG